CAGGCAUAGGCCAACUCAGCCCUCCAGAUGUUUUGGGACUACAACUCCCACCAUCCCUGACCACUGGUCCUGUUAGCUAGGGAUGAUGGGAGUUGUAGUCCCAAACAUCUGGAGGGCCGAGUUUGCCUAUGCCUG
Molecule: microRNA precursor, 135 nt
Filed under: Podarcis lilfordi (Lilford's wall lizard)
Lineage: Eukaryota; Metazoa; Chordata; Lepidosauria; Squamata; Lacertidae
Source: RNAcentral